GACAAUAUGUGCUGCCUUGCCGAGUGACCAUAAGGAUCGUCUCUGACCGCCUCUAGCUGCCGUCUUCAUCAGGACCCACCUUGGUUUCAUGUUCUUGGAGAAAGCUCCUGGCCAAUGUCUGAGUAAAGCAGUGGUAACAGUCACACACUCCUUCCAGGGGAGCUCCCAGUCUGGAGGAGAUGCUGGGGCGAAGGACUUUGCUUCCAAAUGCAUUCCAAGUGCAGGGCUUUUCUAAAGUGUGGCCUUUUGCUCUGUGGUGAGGCUGGGAAUCUGAUCUUUAGCAACACAUGUGUGCAUACACACACACACACACACACACACAAACAUACAGAGAGAGAGAGAGAGAGAGAGAGAGAGAGGCUGUGUUUAUAUCCAUGCAUUAUUACAAGCUAAUAAGGCAAAGAUGAAAAUAAUUUUAAAAAGUUAGGAGAUAGGGUUUCUAAUCCAGGCUUUGCCAUAGUGUGCAGUAAAGCCUGAACAUGGAGCCUGGGAUUUGAUGGCACUGACCUAAUAUGAGUGACUGAUCCCUUCCUUUCAUAGCUUAGUAUUUCACAGAGCAAGACAGAAAGGUAACAGUUGCCCAUGUUAGGAUACACUUCCCCUUCCCUCUGCUGCCAAAGUUAGAACCAGGGUUAAACUGCAACAGGGGCUACUCAGUAAUGCCUGGGCCUUCUAAGGGAGGAAGUGUCCUUAGCUGCUCAGCAGUCAGAUGGGUUCUGAGCACAACCAAUAACAAAAGGGACCCAUAACAUCAUCCAGGGAAGUCUGUUCCUUAGGAUAAGCUGGGGUCCAGGCAGUGCACGCAAGAAACGAGACAAUGGCUGCCAGGUUGUCUCCUGGCUCAGAAACAUCUUAUCUGAGAAAGCCUGAAAUGCUUGCUUCCCUGGUAGAUGGCAGAACAAGGGGUAACCGUUUGAGGAAGUGUGUGUGCCAAGUCACCCAGCCCACCAGAUUACAGACCAUAAGACAGAAACACACCAUAUAUCAAAGCCAUCUCCGGCGAGCCUGUGAGAGGAGACCCAGGGGACAGGACCAGGGUGGCUGCCUUCUGUGGGCUAGAACUGAAGGCCAGGAACAGCAAUUGGGAUAGUUUGGAACCAUACCCACCAGCCAGGACAGACUGGCUACCCAGAAGCCUGUUUUUGGGUUUUUUUUUUUUUUGUUUUGUUUUGUUUUUCUCAAGGAUGUGUGUGUGUGUGCCUAUUCAGAGCAUUUUCUGAUUCUAUUUAAUUUUAAGACUUGAAUUUUCUAUUAAUUUUCCUGAUGUUAUUGCAUACGAAAUUGAUUUUCAUUUUGUAUAGUUUUUUGGGGGGGAGGUAAAGAAGUACAACUGUUUUUUGCGUGUUUAUUUUGUAUCUAGAAUUUUUGUUGAAUUUGUUGCACACUCUAACAUUUGUUUAUGAAGUUUUCAGGGUUUUCUACAAGCUGUAUCAUGUCACCAAAAGUAGCAAUAAUUUAGCAAAUUCUUUUUUCUUGGUUUAAAUGCCAUUUAUUUCCUUUCCUUGGUAGACUCCUUCAGUACUGAGUUGAACAGAAGUGGGGAAAGCGGACAUUCUUGUCUUGGUUCUGAUCCUAGAAGGAAUGCUUCAAUGGUCUCCAUGAGUAGGACGCUGGCUGUGGCUUUACCAGUUAUGCGCCAGAUUUUCUGGCCAGGUCUGCACGGCCGUGACUAAGUUCCUGACAGGAACAGCAUAAGGAAGGGAUCAUGUAUUUCAGCUCACCAUUUCAGAAGGCUCAGAUCGUAGUUGCUUGAUUCUGUGUACUUGAAGCAAAACAUCAUGGGUCAAUAGUACGUGGCAGAGGAGAGCGGUUCUCAUCCCAGCAGCCCAGUGAGAAAGGUAUCCCGUGAGGUCCCUGCUGAUCUUGUGUCUCCCCCUGCUGGUCACUCUCGAGUACUACGCAUUGAAGCGGACCCACUGUUAAAUUUCCUUUUGAGAGUUUGCCUGUUAUAUAGACACGAAGUCCAACUUGUGUAUGAAUUUUCAAGUAAUUGUCUUAGCUUCUCUUCUAGUAACCCUAAGGCUGAGACAAGCGGUUUCUCUGUUGGUUCCACUCUGCUCGUUGGGGAGCUUUACUGUAGAUAAGGGCGUUUGGAGUCCUCUCGGUUUACAGAAAUCGCAUUACUGUUCUUCGGUGCAUUAGGCAGCGUUCCCUAGCGGAACUGAAGUGGUAGGACGUAUAUGAAUAGAAGGAAUUUUAUGAGGCCGAGUCACACAAUAGGGGCUGGAUAGUCCAAAACCAACAAUCUGCAUGCCAAAGACUCUGAGAACCAAGUAGCUGCUUGUGGCUGCUUUGGCACUCCCAAAAUGGUGCUGAAAGCCCAGAUGGUUCCCGGAGAGCUGCUAGCUAGCCUUCAGCUCACCCUGGAAGAGGAAAGAAGCGGCAGCCCUACACUAGUGGGGGCUGGCGGCGGUAGCAACAGCAGUGGCAAGAACAGCUGAGGUAAGAGGAGGAAGAGAGGAGGCGGUUCUGGGUUUUCUUCCCUUCUCUGUAUCAAAACACUACCUUCUGAUAGGGGCCUCCCAAGGUGGAGAGGGGCUUUCAUCCUUCUGGAUACUCCUGCCCAGAGGUGUGUCUCUUAUUUGAUCCCAGAUCCCAUCAAGCUGAUCACGUUUAGCCAUCAUACCCACCUUGAGUAUGACCUUGGUUCUACUCUCUUUUUUCUGCCCUUCCCACAGAUGUUGACAAUGAAGCUCAUGUCUCCAAAUGUGGUAGAACUCUCCAGGUCAGGGUGAGCUUUGGCACUCCCAAAGUUUCAUGCAGUCUCAUUUUGCUGUGAGGAUUGGCAUAUACUUGACUUUUACACAAUUAAUUUACAGAAUCACAUGUUAAAACAUUUCUUAUCCAAAUUAGGGUCUUUUCUAUCAGCAAAAGAGUUAGGAUAUUCAAUCCAUCAUACUGCAGGGGAAAAGCCUACCGUAUUUGAUUUUCUUUUUUCCCCUAAGAUCUAUUUAUUUUUACUUUAUGUAUAGGACUGUUUUGCCUGCUUGUAUAUAAGUGUGCCAGGUACACGCCUGGUGUCCAUGGAGGCCAGAAGAGGGCAUCAGAUCCCCUGGAACUGUAGUUAUAGACAAUGUGAACCAUGCAGGUUCUGAGAAUGGAACCCAGGACUUUUAGAAGAGCAGCCAGUGCUCUGAAGAGCUGAGCCAUAUCUCCAGCCCCCUAUGUGAUUUCCUUAUGGAAGCUCUUACCUUUUUAGCCUAUACUUCUGAGCUCAGUGUGAUGAAGUAUUAACUAUUACUACCACUGGAAUUAUUACCUGCUUCCCCCCACAAAUAGCUUAAGCUUUUUAUUUUCAAUUUACUGUCAGUUUCUUUCCUUCCUCUUAACCCUACUAUAUGAAACAGAUUGUUGAAAAAAUGAGCCUCUAAAAAGCUGUGCCACUGGCCUGGUGUGAUUAAUUGCCAUGAACAUUGUUUUUGUCUGUUUGUUUGAUCUGUUUUGUUGAUUGUAUAAUCACCCCCAGGUUCUUCUGGGUUGAGAUUUAGAAGAGGGAA
Long non-coding RNA from Arvicola amphibius (Eurasian water vole), 3497 nucleotides. RefSeq lists it as uncharacterized. Lineage: Eukaryota; Metazoa; Chordata; Mammalia; Rodentia; Cricetidae. The transcript is spliced from 3 exons. The record is from RefSeq and is a predicted model, not a curated record.